RNAcentral lists this ribosomal RNA (255 nucleotides) under Escherichia coli. Its description in RNAcentral is "partial 23S ribosomal RNA". It matches the Rfam family "Bacterial large subunit ribosomal RNA", at positions 1639 to 1876 of the family's 2925-position model. Lineage: Bacteria; Pseudomonadati; Pseudomonadota; Gammaproteobacteria; Enterobacterales; Enterobacteriaceae. The record is from RNAcentral.
AAAUCGUACCCCAAACCGACACAGGUGGUCAGGUAGAGAAUACCAAGGCGCUUGAGAGAACUCGGGUGAAGGAACUAGGCAAAAUGGUGCCGUAACUUCGGGAGAAGGCACGCUGAUAUGUAGGUGAAGUCCCUUGCGGAUGGAGCUGAAAUCAGUCGAAGAUACCAGCUGGCUGCAACUGUUUAUUAAAAACACAGCACUGUGCAAACACGAAAGUGGAGGUAUACGGUGUGACGCCUGCCCGGUGCCGGAAGG